AUUGAACGCUGGCGGCAGGCCUAACACAUGCAAGUCGAACGGUAACAGGAAGCAGAUUGCUGCUUUGCUGACGAGUGGCGGACGGGUGCGUAAUGUCUGGGAAACUGCCCGAUGGAGGGGGAUAACUACUGGAAACGGUAGCUAAUACCGCAUAACGUCGCAAGACAAAAGAGGGGGACCUUAGGGCCUCUUGCCAUCGGAUGUGCCCAGAUGGGAUUAGUUCGUAGGUGGGGUAACGGCUCACCUAGGCGACGAACCCUAGCUGGUCUGAGAGGAUGACCAGCCACACUGGAACUGGGACACGGUCCAGACUCCUACGGGAGGCAGCAGUGGGGAAUAUUGCACAAUGGGCGCAAGCCUGAUGCAGCCAUGCCGCGUGUAUGAAGAAGGCCUUCGGGUUGUAAAGUACUUUCAGCGGGGAGGAAGUGAGUAAAGUUAAUACCGUUGCUCAUUGACGUUACCCGCAGAAGAAGCACCGGCUAACUCCGUG
This 490-nucleotide ribosomal RNA is filed under the name uncultured bacterium. Its description in RNAcentral is "partial 16S ribosomal RNA". It matches the Rfam family "Bacterial small subunit ribosomal RNA", at positions 30 to 507 of the family's 1533-position model. The record is from RNAcentral.